RNAcentral lists this transfer RNA (117 nucleotides) under Trichosporon asahii var. asahii CBS 8904. Its description in RNAcentral is "tRNA-Pro". The record is from RNAcentral. Lineage: Eukaryota; Fungi; Basidiomycota; Tremellomycetes; Trichosporonales; Trichosporonaceae.
CAACAGUGGUGUAGUGGUUAUCAUACUCUCUUAGGGUGAUCUAACAUCUUGAGCUUUGCCUCCAACUGUCUUCGGACAGCGAUUGGGAGUGGCCCCGGGUUCAAAUCCCGGCGAGGA